Molecule: transfer RNA, 64 nt
Filed under: Heterometrus longimanus
Lineage: Eukaryota; Metazoa; Arthropoda; Arachnida; Scorpiones; Scorpionidae
Description: tRNA-Gln
Source: RNAcentral
UUGUGAUGGCUACUAGGUAGCUCUAUUGAAUUCAAAGCUCAAGGUGCAAAUACACUUCAUUACA